This 453-nucleotide ribosomal RNA is filed under the name uncultured Porphyromonadaceae bacterium. RNAcentral's name for it is "partial 16S ribosomal RNA". It matches the Rfam family "Bacterial small subunit ribosomal RNA", at positions 341 to 792 of the family's 1533-position model. Lineage: Bacteria; Pseudomonadati; Bacteroidota; Bacteroidia; Bacteroidales; Porphyromonadaceae. The record is from RNAcentral.
ACGGAAGGCAGCAGUGAGGAAUAUUGGUCAAUGGGCGGAAGCCUGAACCAGCCAAGUCGCGUGAAGGAUGAAGGUAUUAUGUAUUGUAAACUUCUUUAGUCGUAGAGAAAUAAGGCGGACGAGUCCGCUGAUGCUAGUAUACGAAGAAUAAGGAUCGGCUAACUCCGUGCCAGCAGCCGCGGUAAUACGGAGGAUCCGAGCGUUAUCCGGAUUUAUUGGGCUUAAAGGGUGCGCAGGCGGCUUUUUAAGUCAGUGGUCAAAUCGUGGGGCUCAACCCCAUCCCGCCAUUGAUACUGGAGAGCUUGAUUGCGGUCGAGGUUGGCGGAAUUCGUCGUGUAGCGGUGAAAUGCAUAGAUAUGACGAAGAACACCGAUUGCGUAGGCAGCUGACCAGGCCGUAAAUGACGCUCAUGCACGAAAGUGCGGGGAUCGAACAGGAUUAGAUACCCUGGUA